Molecule: long non-coding RNA, 714 nt
Organism: Helianthus annuus (common sunflower)
Lineage: Eukaryota; Viridiplantae; Streptophyta; Magnoliopsida; Asterales; Asteraceae
Exons: 4
Source: RefSeq, a predicted model, not a curated record
UUCUACCCUACACAUCUCCACUCACCAUCUCCAGAGCCCUAAUAUGGUUCCAAGUUAGGGUUUCUGGUGUUUGUGAGCCCCGUUCCAAGCUGUGCUCCGUCCACCCCACUCAAAACACUAAAGAUUCCGGCCGCCUCCACUCAAUUUCUACCACCUCCGGCGACAUACACGGUCACCUCCACUAAAAUGCAACCACUUCCGGUCAUCUCUGCUGAAAUCCGGUCACCUCUACUGAAAUCCGGCCAUCUCCACUGAAAUCCGAUCACCUCUACUGAAAUCCAGCCAUCUCCACUGAAAUCUGGUCACCUCUGCAUGUAGCAAUGAAGUUCAUGAUCAGCAGCUUUAUAAGAAGAACUAUCAGAGCAUAUGUAGUAAUGAAGUUCAUGAUCAGCAGCUUUAUAAAAAGAACUAUCAGAGCAUAUGUAGUAAUGAAGUUCAUGAUCGGCACUAUUCGAGAGUUGGUUCGAAAACCCGGAUUUUAGAAAUGAACUUCAAAACUUUUUGAGUUCAAGUUACCCGACAAAGUUUGGAAGCGAAGAUGUUGAUGGUGAAGAAGCGGAUGAUGGCAGCGAUGAUGACAUGGAUAUGAUUUAAAAUUAUGGCAUUUUAGAUGUUAAGUAGGUUUAUGACGUAUUAGUGACUUAAAACGAAUUCGGAUUGUGACGUUUAUGUAGUUUACGCUUAUGUAGUUUAUGCUUAUGUAGUUUAUGUUUG